This 468-nucleotide ribosomal RNA is filed under the name uncultured bacterium. RNAcentral's name for it is "partial 16S ribosomal RNA". It matches the Rfam family "Bacterial small subunit ribosomal RNA", at positions 28 to 507 of the family's 1533-position model. The record is from RNAcentral.
GACGAACGCUGGCGGCGUGCUUAACACAUGCAAGUCGAACGGAAAGGCCCUGCUUUUGUGGGGUGCUCGAGUGGCGAACGGGUGAGUAACACGUGAGUAACCUGCCCUUUACUUUGGGAUAACUUCAGGAAACUGGGGCUAAUACCGGAUAGGAGCUCCUGCUGCAUGGUGGGGGUUGGAACGUUUCGGCGGUUGGGGAUGGACUCGCGGCUUAUCAGCUUGUUGGUGGGGUAGUGGCUUACCAAGGCUUUGACGGGUAGCCGGCCUGAGAGGGUGACCGGCCACAUUGGGACUGAGAUACGGCCCAGACUCCUACGGGAGGCAGCAGUGGGGAAUAUUGCACAAUGGGCGGAAGCCUGAUGCAGCAACGCCGCGUGCGGGAUGAAGGCCUUCGGGUUGUAAACCGCUUUCGCCUGUGACGAAGCGUGAGUGACGGUAAUGGGUAAAGAAGCACCGGCUAACUACGUG